GGGGGCGAACUGGUUUCGACGGAGGACGGAAGGCGACGGGUGCGCGCCGUGGUUGGUCACGAGGCCACGUAAAAACGGGACCAAGCAGAAACGCGAACGAGCCCAUGGCUCUCGCGGCCUAACUAAAGGCCGUGCGUUCCCCCGGAAGCGCCGGGUACCGGGUGUGAACGUCAGCUCCGGCUGGACCUUGGCGGGAAGCGAACCGCCUUGCCGAGGUCGAGAUCAAAGGGCGAGGACGUGAGCGGUUGCAGGCUCGGAGGUUGCCGCUCACGUAUCCACUCCGAGCUACGCGCGUAGGGCCCUUCACUGGAAGUCUUUCGGACCCGGGUUCGAUUCCCGGCGCCUCCACUU
This is a non-coding RNA of Anaeromyxobacter dehalogenans 2CP-C, 351 nucleotides long. It matches the Rfam family "transfer-messenger RNA". Rfam says of the family: Bacterial tmRNA, also known as 10Sa RNA or SsrA, is named for its dual tRNA and mRNA-like properties. Its role is to liberate the mRNA from a stalled ribosome. The record is from Rfam. NCBI's taxonomy places the organism in Bacteria, Pseudomonadati, Myxococcota, Myxococcia, Myxococcales, Anaeromyxobacteraceae.